Molecule: ribosomal RNA, 253 nt
Filed under: uncultured bacterium
Lineage: Bacteria
Description: partial 16S ribosomal RNA
Rfam family: Bacterial small subunit ribosomal RNA
Source: RNAcentral
UACAGAGGUCUCAAGCGUUGUUCGGAUUCAUUGGGCGUAAAGGGUGCGUAGGUGGCGCGAUAAGUCGGGUGUGAAAUCUCGGAGCUUAACUCCGAAAUUGCAUUCGAUACUGCCGUGCUCGAGGACUGGAGAGGAGACUGGAAUUCAUGGUGUAGCAGUGAAAUGCGUAGAGAUCAUGAGGAAGACCAGUGGCGAAGGCGGGUCUCUGGACAGUUCCUGACACUGAGGCACGAAGGCCAGGGGAGCAAACGGG